RNAcentral lists this ribosomal RNA (207 nucleotides) under uncultured bacterium. Its description in RNAcentral is "partial 16S ribosomal RNA". It matches the Rfam family "Bacterial small subunit ribosomal RNA", at positions 568 to 774 of the family's 1533-position model. The record is from RNAcentral.
AGCGCAGGCGGGAAGACAAGUUGGAAGUGAAAUCUAUGGGCUCAACCCAUAAACUGCUUUCAAAACUGUUUUUCUUGAGUAGUGCAGAGGUAGGCGGAAUUCCCGGUGUAACGGUGGAAUGUGUAGAUAUCGGGAAGAACACCAAUGGCGAAGGCAGGUCUCUGGGCCGUCACUGACGCUGAGGAGCGAAAGCGUGGGGAGCGAACA